GGACUUGAAUUUUGAGCCUUAUUAGAGAAAUCUACUAAGUGAUUGUUUUCACAUUCAGGGAAACCUAAGGUUUGAGAUAUGAGGUAAUCCUGAGCCAAAUUUUAAUUAUGAAAUAGGUGCAGAGACUCGAAGGAAACUAUCCUAACGAAAAAUUUUUUCUCUCUUUUUUUUUAUUACGAGUAUUGUUUUAUUACACAGUACAAAAUAUAUUCGAAAUAAUUAAAAUAUCUGAAUACUACUAUAAAUAUUAGUUUUUUCAAUAAAGAAUAAUAGACGAGGAUAAAGAUAGAGUCCUUUUUUACAAUCUAUAUAGUUUUUAGUUAUAAAUAAUUGUAAAGAUAGAGUCCUUUUUUACAAUCUAUAUAGUUUUUAGUUAUAAAUAAUUGUAAAAAGAAAAUCCGUUGGCUUAAUAGACCUUGAGGGUUCAAGUCCCUCUACCCCCA
RNAcentral lists this transfer RNA (443 nucleotides) under Acanthocoleus madagascariensis. RNAcentral's name for it is "partial tRNA-Leu". The stretch from base 1 to 316 matches the Rfam family "Group I catalytic intron". From Rfam's summary of the family: Group I catalytic introns are large self-splicing ribozymes. They catalyse their own excision from mRNA, tRNA and rRNA precursors in a wide range of organisms. The record is from RNAcentral. Lineage: Eukaryota; Viridiplantae; Streptophyta; Jungermanniopsida; Porellales; Lejeuneaceae.